RNAcentral lists this ribosomal RNA (502 nucleotides) under uncultured bacterium. RNAcentral's name for it is "partial 16S ribosomal RNA". It matches the Rfam family "Bacterial small subunit ribosomal RNA", at positions 30 to 523 of the family's 1533-position model. The record is from RNAcentral.
AUUGAACGCUGGCGGAAUGCUUUACACAUGCAAGUCGAACGGCAGCACGGGAGCUUGCUCCUGGUGGCGAGUGGCGAACGGGUGAGUAAUAUAUCGGAACGUAUCCAAUAAUGGGGGAUAACUAGUCGAAAGAUUAGCUAAUACCGCAUACGCCCUGAGGGGGAAAGCUGGGGAUCUUCGGCCCUGCCGUUAAUGGAGCGGCCGAUAUCGGAUUAGCUAGUAGGUGAGGUAAAAGCUCGCCUAGGCGACGAUCAGUAGCUGGUCUGAGAGGACGACCAGCCACACUGGAACUGAGACACGGUCCAGACUCCUACGGGAGGCAGCAGUGGGGAAUUUUGGACAAUGGGCGCAAGCCUGAUCCAGCCAUUCCGCGCGAGUGAAGAAGGCCUUCGGGUUGUAAAGCUCUUUCGCAAGGGAAGAAAACUUAUCCUCUAACAUAGGAUGAGGUUGACGGUACCUUGAUAAGAAGCACCGGCUAACUACGUGCCAGCCGCCGCAGUAA